AGAUAACUCAGAAUCCUCCAACUGGGGAUAUGAGUAACGGUCGUUUGGCACGGCCAGUAGCCUACCUGUUCAAUCAAACCUCGGGGCGUUUCGCACCGAGCGAACAGGCUGGUUGCAAACCUUAAUAUCCCAACGCUUGGGAAUCCUCGCCCUUCAGGGCGGGGA
This is a small RNA of 165 nucleotides. It matches the Rfam family "Sense overlapping transcript RNA 0042 (sot)". Rfam says of the family: It is associated with IS1341-type transposase (tnpB) genes, at the 3'-end in H. salinarum NRC-1. The tetraloop structural motif may be functional. The record is from Rfam.